UCGGCGUCAGCUACAGGGGCACCGCGCACGAGCUCAAGGGCACGGUCAACGACGUGAAGGAGAUGAGGCGCCUCCUCUGCGGCAAGUUUGGGUUCCCCGGCGACUGCAUCCUGGAGCUCACUGGUGCUCCGUCCUGUUCCUUGCAGACUCAAAUUAUACGAAGGUUCGAUAAGCUAGGGAACUAAUCAGUUGCUGUCAUGGUUGUGUGGCAGAGAACGAGAGGGACCCGAGCAGGGUGCCGACGAGGGAGAACCUGCUGCGGGCGAUGCGGUGGCUCGUGGACGGCUGCAGCAGCGGCGACUCGCUGGUGUUCCACUUCUCCGGGCACGGCGUACAGAAGCUGGACAUGAACGACGACGAGGUGGACGGGUACAACGAGGCGCUGUGCCCGGUGGACUU
Molecule: long non-coding RNA, 399 nt
Filed under: Setaria italica (foxtail millet)
Lineage: Eukaryota; Viridiplantae; Streptophyta; Magnoliopsida; Poales; Poaceae
Description: long non-coding RNA (SITA_LNC007139)
Source: RNAcentral